ACGAAGUUGAAGAGCUUGCUCUUUAACGAAGUGAGUGGCGGACGGGUGAGUAACACGUGGGUGACGGGCAUAUUAGAGGGGGAUAACAUUCGGAAACGGAUGCUAAUACCGCAUAGUUUCAGGRAUCGCAUGAUUCUUGAAGGAAAGGUGGCUUCGGCUACCACUAAUGGAUGGACCCACGGCGUAUUAGCUAGUUGGUGAGGUAAUGGCUCACCAAGGCAAUGAUACGUAGCCGACCUGAGAGGGUCAUCGGCCACACUGGGACUGAGACACGGCCCCGACUCCUACGGGAGGCAGCAGUAGGGAAUCUUCCGCAAUGGACGAAAGUCUGACGGAGCAACGCCGCGUGAGUGAAGAAGGUUUUCGGAUCGUAAAACUCUGUUGUUAAAGAAGAACAAGGAUGAGAGUAACUGCUCAUCACCUGACGGUAUUUAACCAGAAAGCCACGGCUAACUACGUGCCAGCAGCCGCGGUAAUACGUAGGUGGCUAGCGUUGUCCGGAUUUAUUGGGCGUAAAGCGAGCGCAGGCGGUUCUUUAAGUCUGAUGU
RNAcentral lists this ribosomal RNA (548 nucleotides) under Carnobacterium maltaromaticum. RNAcentral describes it as "bacterial SSU rRNA". The record is from RNAcentral. Lineage: Bacteria; Bacillati; Bacillota; Bacilli; Lactobacillales; Carnobacteriaceae.